RNAcentral lists this ribosomal RNA (266 nucleotides) under uncultured Proteus sp. RNAcentral describes it as "partial 16S ribosomal RNA". It matches the Rfam family "Bacterial small subunit ribosomal RNA", at positions 505 to 773 of the family's 1533-position model. Lineage: Bacteria; Pseudomonadati; Pseudomonadota; Gammaproteobacteria; Enterobacterales; Morganellaceae. The record is from RNAcentral.
GUGCCAGCAGCUGCGGUAAUACGGAGGGUGCAAGCGUUAAUCGGAAUUACUGGGCGUAAAGCGCACGCAGGCGGUCAAUUAAGUCAGAUGUGAAAGCCCCGAGCUUAACUUGGGAAUUGCAUCUGAAACUGGUUGGCUAGAGUCUUGUAGAGGGGGUAGAAUUCCAUGUGUAGCGGUGAAAUGCGUAGAGAUGUGGAGGAAUACCGGUGGCGAAGGCGGCCCCUGGACAAAGACUGACGCUCAGGUGCGAAAGCGUGGGAGCAAAC